AUGAAAAAGAAAAAAAAGGUUAGUAAGAAACAGAGAAGUAGUAUAAAAGAUAAAAUAAGGGAAAUUAGUAUAGAGUGUCAAAUACUAAAUAAGUAUAUUAAAAACAUAGAAAAAGAAAGGCAACUAUUUGAUUUAAGUACUGUAGUGUUAAAAAAGUAUAAUUUAUUUUUUGAUAAUGAAUUAAAUAAUAAUUUAUGUGUAAGUUUGUUUAAUCAUGUUAUUAUAAAAAGUUGCGGAAUCCUUUUUUCGAAUAAAACAUUUUUAAAAAGUGAUAGUAGUGAAUUCGUAGAAAGAUAUGAAAAUAGUCUUUAUAGAAAAAACGAAUCUGAUACCAAUUUAAGUGUAUAUAAAAAUAAAAGCAUUAAUAGGCAUAAUAGUAAUAAUAUAUCAUGGCUGAGUUUUGAAAAAGAAAAAAAAAAUGAGAAGUAUAUAUUUAGUAAAAGUAAAAAAAUAGUUUUACCAAAAAGAUGUAUAACACACCAUAUAGGUAGUUAUGAUCUGUUGAAUCAUGGACCGGACAAGUUUAAAUUAAAAAAAAAUAACAUACGCUCGAUGACUAAUUUUAAGCGUGAAAUCAGUUUCGAAAAUAAUCAUAUUAAUAAUAACAGUAAUAAUAAAUUACUUUUUAAUUUUAAACAAAUUUCAGAUUAUUCACUAGGUGGUAGUAGUAGUAGUAGUAGUAGUAUUAGUAGUGGUAGUGGAAAUAGGACUAGGAGUACAUUAUUCUAUAAAAUAAAUGAAAGUGAUUUAAGAGGUGACUUGGAGAACAGACUUAAGAUCGAAUGUGGCCUUGGAAAGGGGCUUGAAAAUGGGUUGGAAAAUGGGUUGGAAAAUGGGUUGGAGAAUGGGUUGGAGAAUGGGUUGGAGAAUGGGUUGGAAAAUGGGUUGGAAAAUGGGUUGGAAAAUGGGUUGGAAAAUGGAUGGGAAAAUGGAUGGGAAAACGAAUUGAGAGUGAAUAUAAAUAUGAAUAACCCGAUUAAAGAAAUUUCUAAGUAUGUAAGAGAAGGUAAAAAAAUAUAUAAUAAUAUAAAUAUAUCUAAAAAAAAAAUAGUGGAAAAUGUAGGAGAAAGAGAAAUUAAAAAUUCAUCCGAAUUUAAUUUUUUAAAUAAUUACAAAAGUAGAACUAACACAAAUAAUGCAUAUAAGGUUGUUAAAAGCAGGAGUAAUGUAUAUAAGGCUAAUAGUACAAGUAGAAAUAACAUAUAUACAUAUAAUAUAAACAAUGACAAUAUAUAUAAAGAUAGUUUCGAUAUGGACAAUGUUAAAUACAAUAGCUCAUUUUUAUUUCUGCAAAACAAGCACAAACAUAAUCACAGUUCUUUUAAUUUUAUAUAUAAAAAUGAUAAGUACAAAGACAAAAAUAAUAGAAGUAGUAAUAGCAGUAGUAAUAGCAAUAGUAAUAGCAAUAGUAAUAGCAAUAGUAAUAACAAUAGUAAUAGCAGUGGUAAUAGCAGUGGUAAUAGUAGUAGUAAUAGUAGUAAUAAAAUGUGGGGAUAUGGAAAAAGGAAUGUAACAAACGAACUAUUUAUGAAUAUACAUUAUAACUCAGUUCACACAAAUGGUAAAACCAUGAAUAAAAAUAAAAAAAAAAAAAAUAGUACAAGAAGCCUUGCUGAUGUUUCGCAUACUGGUUUAAUUAGUAGUGAUCGAAGCUUUUUAUUUUUUAAAGAGAAAAAGGAAAAAAUAAAAAAUAAAAAAAGUAAUAUAUUUGUUGAUUUUAUGCAGAAAAUCAAAAAAAAAAUUUCCUUUUUGAUUUAUGAAGAUGAGUCAGAAAAAUUAAAUGAUACUAGUACUAAUAGUUGGGUUAACUCAUGUCAGGAAAGUAAAAGUAAUCGAAUAAAAAAAAAAAAUGAUCUGAAUGUUUUAAAUUAUCUAUGUUUAAUUAAAUCAAAAAUGCAAAUAAUUUAUUUAUGUGUUUGUCCUCAAUGUAAAAAAAAAUUCUAUUUAUUAUUGAAAAAACAAUCGAAUAAAAAAAUGUCACCAACGGUCAUUCGCCCAUUUGAUUUUUUUGUUCUCGUUCAAAAAAUAAAAAAUCAGUCAUCCAUGGGGAUUGACACAUAUCAUGAGCAAGGCAAUGAAGGAGGUAACGAACAAGGUAGUGAACAACGUAAUGGAAAUAAAACGAAUCAUAAAACAAGUCCAUACUUUUGUUUUGACUCUUCUAGUUGUUUCUAUGACACAGUUUGUUUUGAAGAAGAUGAAAAAAAGAAGAAUUUUUGUACUUGUUAUUUUCAAGCGAAAAAUGUUAGUAAUAACUUUUCGGAGUAUUUAGAUAUGUUGGCUUAUUUUUAA
This is a long non-coding RNA of Piliocolobus tephrosceles (Ugandan red Colobus), 2292 nucleotides long. The record is from Ensembl. NCBI's taxonomy places the organism in Eukaryota, Metazoa, Chordata, Mammalia, Primates, Cercopithecidae.